RNAcentral lists this ribosomal RNA (283 nucleotides) under uncultured Hymenobacter sp. RNAcentral's name for it is "partial 16S ribosomal RNA". It matches the Rfam family "Bacterial small subunit ribosomal RNA", at positions 133 to 415 of the family's 1533-position model. Lineage: Bacteria; Pseudomonadati; Bacteroidota; Cytophagia; Cytophagales; Hymenobacteraceae. The record is from RNAcentral.
UAACUGGGGGAUAGCCCGCCGAAAGGCGGAUUAAUACCGCAUAAGCUGCUUGAGUGGGAUCACUCGAUUAGUAAAGAUUUAUUGGUUAUAGAUGGGGUUGCGGGUCAUUAGCUAGUUGGUAAGGUAACGGCUUACCAAGGCGACGAUGACUAGGGGAGCUGAGAGGCUGGUCCCCCACACGGGCACUGAGAUACGGGCCCGACUCCUACGGGAGGCAGCAGUAGGGGAAUAUUGGGCAAUGGGCGAGAGCCUGACCCAGCCAUGCCGCGUGCAGGAAGAAGGC